CCUACGGGUGGCAGCAGUAGGGAAUCUUCCACAAUGGGCGAAAGCCUGAUGGAGCAACGCCGCGUGGGUGAAGAAGGUCUUCGGAUCGUAAAACCCUGUUGUUAGAGAAGAAAGUGCGUGAGAGUAACUGUUCACGUUUCGACGGUAUCUAACCAGAACGCCACGGCUAACUCCGUGCCAGAAGCCGCGGUAAUACGUAGGUGGCAAGCGUUAUCCGGAUUUUUUGGGCGUAAAGGGAACGCAGGCGGUCUUUUAAGUGUGAUGUGAAAGCCUUCGGCUUAACCGGCGUAGUGCAGUGGAAACUGGGAGACUUGAGUGCAGGAGAGGGGAGUGGAAUUCCAGGUGUAGCGGUGAAAUGCGUAGAUAUAUGGAAGAACACCAGUGGCGAAGGCGGCUCUCUGGUCAGUAACUGACGCUGAGGUUCGAAGGCGAGGGUAGCGAACAGGAUUAGAUACCCGAGUAGUC
RNAcentral lists this ribosomal RNA (465 nucleotides) under uncultured bacterium. RNAcentral describes it as "partial 16S ribosomal RNA". It matches the Rfam family "Bacterial small subunit ribosomal RNA", at positions 338 to 795 of the family's 1533-position model. The record is from RNAcentral.